CUUCAUCAACAGUGUAACGAUCUUACGGAAGAAGAUUCUCUUUCAGGUAUCACCACGCAGAAGUCUCUCUCCGCUCCUCCCACGCUUAUCAAGACCUCCCCUUCUCUCCUUGCCGUCUCGAGCACUUCCACGAUGACGCAGGAAACCUCCCCUCAGCGCAACAGCGAGCCGGCAGGCAUUUCGCCUCGCCAACGCGCCAGAAAGAACCGCAGCGGCGAGAACGCCGCGCGCGUUAUCAUGGGCUUGGAUCUGGCGAGCGAUAGCGCCGAGCGGCGCCCGAACCCCGGCCGUCAGCACUGCGCCCCUCCUCGCAACAACUUCAGCUCUCCGAGAGAGUUCUUCGCCGGUCCCAGCCAUCCACCGCGCAUGUUUACGGGCAUUCGCCGCUAUCCCAACUGUAACCGUGACUCGGUAGGGACAAUGCUGACGGAUGAGUACUUCAUGACGAGCUGUGACGACUCUUCCAUCACCGGUCGCAGCGGGGGCGCGCUGAGGAGAGCGUCUUCGCGCAGCCUCAUGUAUGCUGCCAGUGGGGCCUACGGCACUCAGGCCAAGCGUGGCGAGGGCACGUCCCGCCAGAAGAAGGCUCGCAAGCGGGGCGGCUCUAUAAACGGCGCCACAGCGCUGCUUCGCUGCCGCGACGGCCUCACAAACAACUGCAUCGUCACGGCACCGGAGGCACCCUGGCGCUGCGGCGUGAAGAUUACGCACCCGCAGGGUGCAAUGGAGGCGCCUUACUUCGAGGACAACGAUCCGCGCCCGCCACGCGACGCCCCUCCGGUGACCGGCAAGCGCCACGUUCCGCCGCCGCACAAGGACGCGAAGAUGUUCGGCCAGGUUCCUCCGCCGCAGGAGGGCGAGGAGGAUCUGUUCCAGAGCACGCUGCCGCCGUGCCACAAGACGUCUAACAAGGCGAACGAGUCUGUUGAUGUGCUGAACCUGCACAGCUACACCGCGGAUGAGCUCAACGAGAAGCCACAGCCGUUCAAGCAGCUGGGCCCCCGCAAGUGCAGCGCCCCGGAGCUGCCGCCGAGGAAGCCGCCUGUGAUCAAGCCCAUCAACACCCCGGCGAAGCAGGAGCACGACGUGCUCGGCACUGGCCGCUGGGGCUCCCCGGAGAAGGAGCAACCCCGCGGCCUCGCCCGUGGCUUGUGCCGCCCGCCGCACGACACGGCGAAUCUGUUCCACGGUGGCAUGCCGCAGCCGGACGAAAAGGCCGGCUCCACGCGUCCCCAAGAGUCGGUUGGCAGCAAAGGCGGCAGCUUGAGCGCCCGCACGGAUUCGCGCCAGCCCCGCGUGAUCGACUCUCGCCGCACCGGCAGCCGCAGCGGCAGUGUGAGCGCCCGCACAGAUCAGGUUUACGCGAUCCAGGGUGAGCCUCACCGCGCCAGCAGCCCUGGCUCGCGCGUGGCUGCGCGUCCAUCCCGCCAGGUAGAAGCUUACCAUGUUGACAGCCGCAGCAGGAGCCCCAAGAAGCGCGAGGACCCCGUGUUCGACGACAGCUACCGUCCACACAGGUACCUGUUCAAGAAGAAUGCCGGCAACCCGAAUAUCCUGCACUACUACGACCCCACCAUCGACCCGAUGCCGGCGGCGGCCCCGAAGCGCCCGAUCCCGCGUUCAAACAUGGAGAGCAAGCUCGACGACUUGAACACGCCGCAGGUCAUCGGGAAGGCCCGUGGUGAGUUCUACAAAAACUCCCGUUCGAGCAUUGCUUUAAUUUAAGAAGCAGCACCACCCCUGGGAGCAUCACCGCACUUGAACUUAGAUCCCUCCUUGCUCCCCUCUUCUCGCCGGCACGCGCUUGUCGGCUGCGGCUCCCGCUGCAAUGAGGUCAAGUGCUGCCUCACCGCUUGCGGAGGAAGGGGAAGGGGCAGGUGAGUUGGCCAUCGACCCGCCCCGCGUGCGACACUGGCGGUAGCGGAAAGAAAGGGGGCCGAAACGAGACACUCGCUCCAAAAUGUGACGGUGAUCUCGGUGGUGUGCCUCGGCUGCGUACGCAAUGCGUGCACCCUCCAUGGGGUACAAAAAAAAAGACGGGCAACAUAUCGCGUUCCGUCGCGGGUCAGCUUCCCAAAUUUGAUGCAUCCAUCUCUCUCCGCAGCGCGCGUGUUGCAUGCAUGUCUUCGUGUGUGUGUGUGUGCGUGUGCGCAGUGAAGGUCUUCGUGAGAUGCGAGGGGUGUUGCGGAAUUUCAACCCAAAGGAGCGAGAGAGAGGGAAGGGGGCGCUCGCCAUAAACAGCGCAGCAAACAGAAAGGCAUUCAUGCAUCUGUGUGUGAGUGUGCUUGUGUGUGUUCGGGCUCAUGCCCUGCGUCGCUGUGUGUAGGCAAUAGUUUUUUUUUGUCGUUUUUUGCGCAUAUCAACGACGAUUGGACUCGAUUGCGACUGGAUCUGAGCAUCUGCUUCCAUCCGUCUUUGUCCUCCCUCCUCGUCUUUCCAGCUGUUUCCGCGCACCUUCUCGCUGGUGAGGUUUCGACGAAGACACGAUCCGCUUCUUUGUUGUACGUGCACACGAAAUCCAAAAAAAAAAAGGUAGAAAAGCCGUGAAAAUACCGUUAUGAUGCCACUGCGCAAGUAGCGAGCGGCGGGGUGAUGGCGGAGGAACGAUUCCGAAGAAGGGGUGUGUGCGCCUUCAAGGAGCAUGCACAGAGGCUCCACUUGACAGGCACGCGUGAUUCCUGUGCAUGCUGUUCCCCAUUCCUCGUUUCCCAUGCCUUCUCAUGUCUCUCCUUGUCUGAG
RNAcentral lists this unclassified non-coding RNA (2739 nucleotides) under Leishmania donovani. RNAcentral's name for it is "gene:LdHU3.36.8060(CDS-product:flagellum_targetin g_protein_kharon1_putative)". The record is from RNAcentral. Lineage: Eukaryota; Euglenozoa; Kinetoplastea; Trypanosomatida; Trypanosomatidae.